AUUGAACGCUGGCGGAAUGCUUUACACAUGCAAGUCGAACGGCAGCACGGACUUCGGUCUGGUGGCGAGUGGCGAACGGGUGAGUAAUGUAUCGGAACGUGCCCAGUCGUGGGGGAUAACGUAGUGAAAAUUACGCUAAUACCGCAUACGAUCUAUGGAUGAAAGCGGGGGAUCGCAAGACCUCGCGCGAUUGGAGCGGCCGAUAUCAGAUUAGGUAGUUGGUGGGGUAAAGGCCCACCAAGCCAACGAUCUGUAGCUGGUCUGAGAGGACGACCAGCCCCACUGGAACUGAGACACGGUCCAGACUCCUACGGGAGGCAGCAGUGGGAAAUUUUGGACAAUGGGCGAGAGCCUGAUCCAGCCAUUCCGCGUGCAGGAUGAAGGCCCUCGGGUUGUAAACUGCUUUUGUACAGAACGAAAAGGUUUCUACUAAUACUAGGAGCUCAUGACCGUACUGUAAGAAUAAGCACCGGCUAACUACGUGCCAGCCGCCGCGGUAA
RNAcentral lists this ribosomal RNA (500 nucleotides) under uncultured bacterium. Its description in RNAcentral is "partial 16S ribosomal RNA". It matches the Rfam family "Bacterial small subunit ribosomal RNA", at positions 30 to 523 of the family's 1533-position model. The record is from RNAcentral.